RNAcentral lists this non-coding RNA (79 nucleotides) under Streptomyces sp. RNAcentral also lists the same sequence under 1 other name. Lineage: Bacteria; Bacillati; Actinomycetota; Actinomycetes; Kitasatosporales; Streptomycetaceae. The record is from RNAcentral.
GGGAAUCCGGUGCGAAUCCGGAACUGUCCCGCAACGGUGUGAUGUGGCGUGCUCUGCCGCGCCCGCGAGUCCGAACACC